Molecule: ribosomal RNA, 200 nt
Filed under: uncultured eukaryote
Lineage: Eukaryota
Description: partial 18S ribosomal RNA
Rfam family: Eukaryotic small subunit ribosomal RNA
Source: RNAcentral
AGCUCCAAUAGCGUAUAUUAAAGUUGUUGCAGUUAAAAAAGCUCGUAGUCGGAUUUUGGCAUCACGCCGCACUGUCUGCCGAUUGGUAAGUACGGUUUGGCGGGUGCUUCCUUCCGGUGCUGCGUUCUGCUCUUAAUUGAGCGGUUCGUUGGUUCCGGUUCUUUACUUUGAGAAAAUUAGAGUGUUCAAAGCAGGCCUAU